AUACUCACCUGAAAGAGGAGAUAACAUGAUAAAAAAAUGUGGCUUUCCGGAGGCAAGGCAUAUCUGUUGCACUCUGGAUGAGCUGAUCCCUGGUUUCCCCAAAUAAUGGGAAAUUGGCGACGUAGCUUGUGGUAGUGGAGUGCUGCUUCACAGUUUCCUUUGA
Cavia porcellus (domestic guinea pig) is the source of this 163-nucleotide small nuclear RNA. Its record names the gene U1. It matches the Rfam family "U1 spliceosomal RNA". Rfam says of the family: U1 is a small nuclear RNA (snRNA) component of the spliceosome (involved in pre-mRNA splicing). Its 5' end forms complementary base pairs with the 5' splice junction, thus defining the 5' donor site of an intron. Lineage: Eukaryota; Metazoa; Chordata; Mammalia; Rodentia; Caviidae. The record is from Ensembl.